This 492-nucleotide ribosomal RNA is filed under the name uncultured bacterium. RNAcentral's name for it is "partial 16S ribosomal RNA". It matches the Rfam family "Bacterial small subunit ribosomal RNA", at positions 29 to 507 of the family's 1533-position model. The record is from RNAcentral.
AGUGAACGCUGGCGGUAGGCCUAACACAUGCAAGUCGAACGGCAGCACAGUAAGAGCUUGCUCUUACGGGUGGCGAGUGGCGGACGGGUGAGGAAUACAUCGGAAUCUACUUUUUCGUGGGGGAUAACGUAGGGAAACUUACGCUAAUACAGCAUACGACCUACGGGUGAAAGCAGGGGAUCUUCGGACCUUGCGCGAUUGAAUGAGCCGAUGUCGGAUUAGCUAGUUGGUGGGGUAAAGGCCCACCAAGGCGACGAUCCGUAGCUGGUCUGAGAGGAUGAUCAGCCACACUGGAACUGAGACACGGUCCAGACUCCUACGGGAGGCAGCAGUGGGGAAUAUUGGACAAUGGGCGCAAGCCUGAUCCAGCCAUACCGCGUGGGUGAAGAAGGCCUUCGGGUUGUAAGGCCCUUUUGUUGGGAAAGAAAAGCAGCAGGUUAAUACCCCGCUGUUCUGACGGUACCCAAAGAAUAAGCACCGGCUAACUUCGUG